Molecule: transfer RNA, 72 nt
Filed under: Actinomadura graeca
Lineage: Bacteria; Bacillati; Actinomycetota; Actinomycetes; Streptosporangiales; Thermomonosporaceae
Description: Actinomadura sp. 32-07 tRNA-Gly
Rfam family: tRNA
About the family: Transfer RNA (tRNA) molecules are approximately 80 nucleotides in length. Their secondary structure includes four short double-helical elements and three loops (D, anti-codon, and T loops).
Source: RNAcentral
GCCGUACAAGCCGAAAUGGUGAGGCACCUGGCUUCCACCCAGGAGAAUCGGGUUCGAUUCCCGAGUACGGCU